This 470-nucleotide long non-coding RNA is filed under the name Gallus gallus (chicken). RNAcentral describes it as "lncRNA (ENSGALG00010000379.1)". Lineage: Eukaryota; Metazoa; Chordata; Aves; Galliformes; Phasianidae. The record is from RNAcentral.
CAAACUCUCUGUCCCCAAACUCUCUGUCCCCAAAGUCCCUUAGGGUUGGGACCUGGAUGUCCCCAACCUCCUCAUCCCAAACAUCUCCUGGGGUUGGGAUGUCCCCAUUGUCCUUGUCCCCAAAGGCCUUAGGGGGUGGGACAUCCUUGUCCCCAGCAUCCUUGUCCCCAAAGCCGAUAGGGGAUGGGACAUUCAUGUCCCUAAAGUCCUUGUCCCCAAAGGCCUUAGGGGGUGGGAUGUCCUUGUCCCCAACGUCCUUGUCCCCAAAGGCCUUAGGGGAUGGGACGUCCUUGUCCCCAAAGCCCAUGGGGGAUGGGACAUCCUUGUCCCCAAAGUCCUUGUCCCCAAAGCCCAGAGGGGAUGGGACGUCCUUGUCCCCAAAGCCCAUGGGGGAUGGGACAUCCUUGUCCCCAACAUCCUUGUCCCCAAAGUCCUUAGGGGAUGGAACACCCUUGUCCCCAAAGUCCUUG